AUACGGAGGAUGCAAGCGUUAUCCGGAUUUAUUGGGUUUAAAGGGUGCGUAGGCGGAUGAUUAAGCGUGAGGUGAAAUGCCACUGCUCAACAGUGGAACUGCCUCGCGAACUGGUUGUCUUGAAUACGGAUGCCGUGGGAGGAAUGAGUAGUGUAGCGGUGAAAUGCAUAGAUAUUACUCAGAACACCGAUUGCGAAGGCAUCUCACGAAUCCGUCAUUGACGCUGAGGCACGAAAGCGUGGGGAUCAAACAGGAUUAGAUACCCUGGUAGUCCACGCAGUAAACGAUGAUGACUAACCGUCGGCGAUACACAGUCGGUGGCCAAGCGAAAGCGAUAAGUCAUCCACCUGGGGAGUACGUUCGCAAGAAUGAAACUCAAAUGAAUUGGCGGGG
Molecule: ribosomal RNA, 393 nt
Filed under: uncultured bacterium
Lineage: Bacteria
Description: partial 16S ribosomal RNA
Rfam family: Bacterial small subunit ribosomal RNA
Source: RNAcentral